GUACAGACUUUUUUUUUUUUUUUUAAGAGAUAGAUAGUAUGUUACCCGUUUUAUUUAUUUUAUUUAGAAAUAAACUUAGCUGAAAAUGUGAAUCAAUUAUCAACUAGGAUUCGAAUUUGGGAUCUCGGAUACCAACUAUCAAGUCCUUUACUACUUGCAUGCUCUAGGGACGGUCAGCCUGUACAGACUUUGUUCUUUUCGGAAAGCGAACUAUCUGAACUUUCGCUCAUCUGAAAAUAACUAUCCAAUUUUCUAAGCUUUUGAUUUUACUAACCGACCAUGAGAAAUUGUUGUUCGUGCUAUAUAUUUAUAUAUUAUAGAAUUAGGCUAGAAUAAUAUUAAUAAUAAAACGCUCUUUUCACUAUCAAGUUUUUAACCCUUGGAUGAAAAAUUGUAGGGUUAGAAUGAUAUUAGUCGGUUAGAGUUGAGUAGUCCCCCUAGGUUUGAGUGGUCCCCACUCGGUUAUAGUAUUUAAUCCAAUGAUUAGAAAUAAUGAAAAGAAUUGAUCCAAAGGCUAAAAAACUGGUAGCAAUAAUGAGAUUUUGCUNAUAUAUAUAUAGAGAGAGAGAGAGAGUAGGGCUGCUAUACUAUUAUGAGUAUUGGACCAUUCGUACUCAUAAGUUGUUUUUUAUGAUGGAACUUCCGAAUCGACGAUCCACUCCGUUAAAUAUGAUCUAAAGUAUUUGAAACUUCUAGAAAAUAAAUUUCAUAAUUUUUCGAAAUUAUAAGAAAGUCCAUCAAGCGGGUAUAAAAUGAACAGUGAAAAUCGAACGAUGUCUUAAAAAUGGAUGAUCGGAUCCUUCAAUUCAAGAUCAGAGUUAUUGAUCUCUAUCUAUAUAGUGAAUAGAAUUUUCUAUCAAAAAUUCAACAAAUUUCGAUUCUUUUACACCGUUAAACUAGUAAGUAUUCCAUACCGGCCGUUAAAAAUUGUCCAAUUUGUGACCUCUUGAUCGUAAGGUAAAUGAUGUCGAAAAAUUAUGAAAUUUGAUUUCUAGAAGUUUUAAAUGCUAUAAAUAACGUUUAACGGUGUGGAUCGUCGAUUCGGAAGCUCUAUCAUCGAAAACAACCUAUGAGUACGAAGGCAAUCGUACUCAUAAUAGUACAGUAGCCGGACCAUAUAUAUAUAUAUAUAUAUAUAU
This 1139-nucleotide long non-coding RNA is filed under the name Ananas comosus (pineapple). RNAcentral's name for it is "long non-coding RNA (ACOM_LNC008292)". Lineage: Eukaryota; Viridiplantae; Streptophyta; Magnoliopsida; Poales; Bromeliaceae. The record is from RNAcentral.